Molecule: transfer RNA, 71 nt
Filed under: Trichonephila inaurata madagascariensis
Lineage: Eukaryota; Metazoa; Arthropoda; Arachnida; Araneae; Nephilidae
Description: tRNA-Lys
Rfam family: tRNA
About the family: Transfer RNA (tRNA) molecules are approximately 80 nucleotides in length. Their secondary structure includes four short double-helical elements and three loops (D, anti-codon, and T loops).
Source: RNAcentral
ACCUGUAGCGCAAUGGAUAGCGCGUUGGACUUUUAAUCCAAAGGUCGUGGAUUUGAAUCCCACCUGGGAUG